GCUAUCAUUACUAUCAUUAAGAUUAGACUUCAAUAUAUCGACUGGGUAAACAGGGAGAAGGGCCUAAAGUUGUGAAGGUCAGAUGUAGUCGUUCAGAGAGGCUAUGUAACAGGCUACGCUACGCUGCAGAGAGGCUAUGUAACAGGCUACGCUAUGCUGUAGAGAGGCUAUGUAACAGGCUACGCUAUGCUGUAGAGAGGCUAUGUAACAGGCUACGCUAUGCUGUAGAGAGGCUAUGUAACAGGCUACGCUACGCUGCAGAGAGGCUAUGUAACAGGCUACGCUACGCUGCAGAGAGGCUAUGUAACAGGCUACGCUACACUGCAGAGAGGCUAUGUAACAGGCUAUGCUGUAGAGAGGCUAUGUAACAGGCUACGCUAUGCUGUAGAGAGGCUAUGUAACAGGCUACGCUAUGCUGUAGAGAGGCUAUGUAACAGGCUACACUGCAGAGAGGCUAUGUAACAGGCUAUGCUGUAGAGAGGAAAUGUAACAGGCUACGCUACGCUGCAGUGAGGCUAUGUAACAGGCUACGCCGUAGAGAGGCUAUGUAACAGGCUACGCUGCAGAGAGGCUAUGUAACAGGCUACGCUGCAGAGAGGCUAUGUAACAGGCUACGCCGCGCUGCAGAGAGGCUAUGUAACAGGCUACGCUGUGCUGCAGAGAGGCUAUGUAACAGGCUACGCUGCAGAGAGGCUAUGUAACAGGCUAC
Molecule: long non-coding RNA, 709 nt
Filed under: Salmo salar (Atlantic salmon)
Lineage: Eukaryota; Metazoa; Chordata; Actinopteri; Salmoniformes; Salmonidae
Description: lncRNA (ENSSSAG00000115743.1)
Source: RNAcentral